This 1128-nucleotide long non-coding RNA is filed under the name Oncorhynchus kisutch (coho salmon). RNAcentral's name for it is "lncRNA (ENSOKIG00005050470.1)". The record is from RNAcentral. Lineage: Eukaryota; Metazoa; Chordata; Actinopteri; Salmoniformes; Salmonidae.
UUAUGGGGACAGCCGAUAAAUAAAUAAAAAAACGAAGUGCAUGACAGUCUUUGCCAAAGGUAACCUGCAUUUAUCUUCUAGGGAGAGUUGGGCCUUGUUGGAGUUGUUGGCCCCAGAGGCCCGCAGGUAAGAGGAGACGUUUGUCUUGUUGUGUUUUCUUGCCUGAAGUUGGGUCACAUUCAACAGAACUACAUGCUCUAUGCUUGUUAGACUAUAAAGGAAAUAUUUCUGUUUAUUUCACCAGGGGCCCCAGGGUUUAGAUGGUGAGAGUGGGCCUCCAGGUCUCAGGGGAAUUCAGGGACAGCUUGGGAUGAGUGGUGCCGCUGGUCCGAAAGGUGACCCUGGACCAAUGGGGAUGAUGGGUAUCCAGGGUGAGCUAGGGUUCGAGGGGCCCAUGGGCCCACUGGGAAUACAAGGUCCAAUGGGUUUCCCUGGUAUUACUGGAAAAAGAGGACCAGACGGGGAUAAGGGAGACCCUGGACCAAAGGGGGAGAGAGGUGUUCAGGGUUCUUCGGGUAUCCAAGGGCCUCAGGGAGAGAGGGGUCCCAGUGGCCCCCCUGGCUUUACAGGGCUCAAAGGUCAAUCUGGCACUAAAGGCAUUGAGGUAGGCAGCCUCUCGGCCUUAUCACUGCAUCUAAAGUUAUAGACUGACACUUUACCAGUGGAAGACUGAUGGAUUUUGGAUAUUUUCUUUCAGGGGGAGAAUGGAGAAACUGGCCAUCAGGGAAAACUGGGCAGACAGGGGCUGAAGGUCAGAGAAGACUUCAGAAAGGAAUGCAUCAUAAUGAAUGUAACAUUUUGAAUGUCAUUAUUUCAUCAGUCUGCCUGUUAGGAUUGGUCAAAAUGAUGAUUCAACUGUGGAUUUCAUGUCCUGAAAUAGUGUCCCAAAUGGCAAUCUAUUCCUGGCCUGUGUAGUGCACUACUUUUGACCAGUCCUAUGGGGUGCCAUUUGGAACAUGUAGUGUAUUAAAUAUCUCUAUGUUUCUUUGAAGGGGAAUAGAGGGACAGCUUGGCGCAACGGCAAGCCUGGACACAGAGGGAACAAGGUAGGACACUCUCCCAUUGAAUGCGUUUAUGAAGGUUGCUAAAAUGUCCAGGUUAUCCAGCAUUUCUAGGAUAUGUAAUUUC